Molecule: ribosomal RNA, 465 nt
Filed under: uncultured bacterium
Lineage: Bacteria
Description: partial 16S ribosomal RNA
Rfam family: Bacterial small subunit ribosomal RNA
Source: RNAcentral
CUACGGGAGGCUCCAGUGGGGAAUUUUCCGCAAUGGGCGAAAGCCUGACGGAGCAAUGCCGCGUGAAUGAAGAAGGUCUUCGGAUCGUAAAGUUCUGUCAUUAGGGAAGAAAGGUACGUGUGUGAAUAAUGCACGUAUUUGACGGUACCUAAGGAGGAAGCCACGGCUAACUACGUGCCAGCAGCCGCGGUAAUACGUAGGUGGCGAGCGUUGUCCGGAAUUACUGGGCGUAAAGGGCGUGUAGGCGGAAAUUUAAGUCAGAUGUGAAAGCCCCGGGCUUAACCUGGGGACUGCAUUUGAUACUGGAGUUCUUGAGGACAGGAGAGGAAAGCGGAAUUCCUAGUGUAGCGGUGAAAUGCGUAGAUAUUAGGAGGAACACCAGUGGCGAAGGCGGCUUUCUGGACUGUAACUGACGCUGAGGCGCGAAAGCGUGGGGAGCAAACGGGAUUAGAUACCCUGGUAGUC